UACAGAGGUGGCAAGCGCUGUUCGGAAUUACUGGGCGUAAAGGGCGCGUAGGCGGCCUACUAAGUCAGACGUGAAAUCCCCCGGCUUAACCUGGGAACUGCGUCUGAUACUGGAAGGCUUGAGGAUGGGAGAGGGAUGUAGAAUUCCAGGUGUAGCGGUGAAAUGCGUAGAUAUCUGGAGGAAUACCGGUGGCGAAGGCGGCAUCCUGGACCAUUACUGACGCUGAGGCGCGAAAGCUAGGGGAGCAAACGGG
RNAcentral lists this ribosomal RNA (253 nucleotides) under uncultured bacterium. Its description in RNAcentral is "partial 16S ribosomal RNA". It matches the Rfam family "Bacterial small subunit ribosomal RNA", at positions 524 to 776 of the family's 1533-position model. The record is from RNAcentral.